Molecule: non-coding RNA, 119 nt
Filed under: uncultured Coprococcus sp.
Lineage: Bacteria; Bacillati; Bacillota; Clostridia; Lachnospirales; Lachnospiraceae
Description: FMN riboswitch (RFN element)
Rfam family: FMN riboswitch aptamer (RFN element)
About the family: The RFN element is a highly conserved domain that is found frequently in the 5'-untranslated regions of prokaryotic mRNAs that encode for flavin mononucleotide (FMN) biosynthesis and transport proteins. This element is a metabolite-dependent riboswitch that directly binds FMN in the absence of proteins.
Source: RNAcentral
AUCUUCGGGGGUGAGUGCAAUUCUCCACCGACGGUGUUAGGGAAACCUUAAGUCCGUGAGCCAUGAGGCAUGAUCCGGUGUGAAUCCGGAACCGACAGUAUAGUCUGGAUGAGAGAAGU